AACCCUCAUGCUGCCUAGCGGUGGCUGUCCAGGGUUCCAGGGACGAGUUCUGGGCAGGCGCUCUGCACAUGCUCAGAUGCACUUCCUUCGCAAUUCAGAUCCAGCGUUGGGAACACAGUGAAGCCCCGGCUCAGGACCUCAAAUAUGUCAUUUACUGAAACUGAAACAUGGCAGGGAGGUCUUGCACCCCUCCUGUGUCCCUGGCCUUUGAACUCAGGGGUGGCCAACACGCUGCUCUCCUGAGAAUGCUGGUCUAGAGUUCCGAUCAUCCCUGGCCAGCCGCUGGGGAUUAUGGGAGCUGUAGUCUUCUUCCCAGCAUUCCUCAUUAAUUCCUUGCCUUUUUAAGGCAACAUUUCACAACAGAAAACUGCAUGCACCCGGCAACACGUACCUGGGCGACUGUGAAUCUACGUGUCGUGUGAACAACUCCCAUGGAGGUCUCUUCCAGCUCCACAAUUCAACGAUUCUGCGGUUCUAAUCCAGGCUGCCUCAACCUCGGCCCUCCAGAUGUUUUGAGACUACAAUUCCCAUCAUCCCCGACCACUGGUCCUGCUAGCUAGGGAUCAUGGGAGUUGUAGUCCCAAAACAUCUGGAGGGCCGAGGUUGAGGAAGCCUGUUCUAAUCCCUCAGGAAUACCCCUCUUCAUGAGACCCUGAAAAUAUGGGUGCCCCCAGGGCGACAAAGAGGGCAGUUCCCACCCCCUCCAUAUGAACCAUAAUCUCCAGAUCCCCGUUUUUCAUUCAAAAAAUCAAGAAUAAGUUUCUAGCCUUUGUAGAACCUGAGAUAGGAGGAACAACGUACAGGUGCUUUUCUAAUUUUUUGGGGGGUGUUAACUUGCUCUCUCUCUUUCUGAGUUUUCCUUUGCCCCCCUCCCCUUGGAAAAUCCCUGACUGAUGCCUGGGAAUAUCUGUUUGUCUGCAGGAGGCAAGAUGAGUUUUUUGUUCUGUUCCAGCAAGGCUCCCCUGAUGCGCUUUCAUCCAUUUCAUUUCAUUUUUAAAUUUGUAUACCGCUUUUAACUCACCCGAGUCACAAAGCGGCUUACGUACAAUAAAUAAUACCAUAGCAGAACACCGCAAUCACAACAUAAAUCAUGUAAAAUAAUUAACAAAUCAUCGGUAAAACAACCUCCUUCAAUAAAGCACUGUUAACGAAACAGCUUAACAAAUAGGCUAAACAGCACAACCACGAGAAAAGUCAUAUUAUAAAAUUAUCCUGAAUACCAUCAGUUUGCUGUGAUUCCUGCAUCUCAGGGGGUUGGGCUGGAUGACCUUUGAGGGUCCCUUGCAACCAAUUUUAUGGUUAUACCCAUAACCCUGCAAUAUAGUGAACCUCAAAUGUAUGUUGAUCACUAUAAUUCGCUCUGUGGGAAUGUUCAGGGAGACAGGAGAGGAUAUAUUGUUUAUUAAUACCCUUCCUAACUUGUGCUAGCAAGUUCUAUAACUUAGCAGACUUUCACUUUCCCCUUUAAAAUGCACAGUGGGUAGCUGGUUGCAGGCUCGUGUAAGCCUCUCACUAUUAGGUUCCUGGUAAGUCACCUUAUAUCCCUCUUAAAAGAAUAAACAAGCCACAAUCUUGUGUAAAGUAGUUUACUCACAUUCUGUUCACAGUUGGAUCCCUGAAGGCAGACUUAGGUACAAAGUAUAUACAUUUGGAUGUACCCCAUAUGGGGAUAAUCCCAGUGUCCUCUGUUGGCUGGAAGCCAACAGAGCAUCUCUAGCUAGAAAGCUGAUCCAACGAUGCAUGGCGUCAAAGAAAGAGUGUGCUGCGUGUCCUAUCCUUUUGUGUUACCUGGACAGGUAAGGUCACAUCCACAUUCAGUCACAUGCAAAGGAAGGAUGCUCCAGCCAGGAGGAAACAGGAAGUAUUCAACUGGCUGGACCAAACAUCCCCCUGCAUGUCCACUCUAGGAAAACGAGGAAUGUUGUACUUGACUGCUCCUUAUGUAUCACAUCCCACACCCUUAACAGUAGAGCCCCACACUAGAGGCAAUGAGUCACACACAUCUGAGCUGCGCAGGGAGAAAUGAGUCUCAAUUUACAAGCCCCGAUCCCUGCGUUGCACGGGUUCGACUAGGUGAGCUUUGGGUGUCCCUUGCAACUCUGAAACUCUAUGCUUCUAAGUCCUAUUGAGCUCAACAGGACUUAACAUUGAGUUACGUGCAACAUGAAUGACCCACGCCGGGGUCAUUUUGCAGCAGUUGGCGGUUCUCCAUGUUCAGACAGCAGGACACACACACACACACACACACACACACAAUAAUGUGGGUGCAGCGAACCCCAAAUUAUUUCCAUCCAAGCUCCUUAUUCUUGAUCCACUGCUUGUUUCCGGGGAAACCCUAUAUUCCACCCUCCUUUGCACAUCCAAGGAAAUGAGUGCAGUUUCCUCACUUGGCGCCAGACGAAACCAAGGCAGAUCAAGAGUCCCUAGUCACCCCCAGUCUUAAACUCAGAGCCUCCUAAUUAUUCUGAGAUAAGGAAGCAACUUGCAGGGUUAUUAUCUCAGAAUAGUAAGACCUCCCCCUGCCCCAUCAACGGAUCUGGGUUCACCGUCUGUUUUCCUUGAGCUAUCAGAAGCGAUUCUGCUGCAACGAAUUAGCCGGGCAGCUAAAGUCUAGGGAAAAAAUGUGUUUUUAGACUUCUUUCCCUGUCCUGCUUCGAAAUCAGGGACUUUUGCUGAAUUCCUCGACUGCAGGGGGAAUUCCGCAGGGCUUCACUGGUGACGGGGGAAUAAAGAUAGAAACCAGAAAAAUGAUAAUAUUCAGCCGCAACACCCAGAAGCAAUGAAUGAGAGUGGCAUUUGAAAGCUGUCUCAGGGACUUGGCCACACCCACCUUUCACCCAGCUCUUUCCUGACACAGCUCUGUGCUUUAAAGCUCCAUCUUUCCCCCCACGAAAAGAAACACUCUUGAGUGCAUUAUCAGAGCAAAUGUCAAUUCAGGUUUCCUGCCCAUUGCUGUUUGCUCCGAUUCAGCUUUAGAGAUCGAGGUUCUGGUGGGGGGGGGAAGGGCGGUGCUCGGCGGUGCUUUAAAGUGUGGGAAUGUUCAGGGAUGCAGGAGAGCAUAUAUUGUCUGAUUAUAGCCUUUCCAACUUGUGUUCACAAUUUAGCAGAGUAACAUCCCCCUUUUUAAACUCACAGCGGAUGCGUUUGCUCAGGCUCGCUCAAGCCUCUAUAAUAACUGUUGUGGUAUUUCCCCCUUAUUCCCUCAUAAAAGAUAAGACACGACACAGUCUUCUAUAAAAGUAUAAAAAGAGUUUACUCACAUUCUGUUCACAAUCGGAUCCCAGAAGGCAGACUUAGCUUAGAAAAGUAACAUACACCUGGAGACUAUCUCAUAAGGAGAUAGUCCCUAGGCAGAUGUUGCUUCUUCGAUGCAUGUAGUCAAAAAGAGAGAGAUGGCUGCCCUGCCCUGUGCUUUUGUCGUUACCUGCACAGGUGAGGCCACGCCCACCUCUAGUCACAUGCAGAGGAAGUCUGUCCCAGCCCAGAAGGAAACAGGAAGUUGACCUGCUGGCUGGACAAACAUUCCUCCCCAUGUGUAAACAUGUUCACUCUAGGAAUGUUGUACUUGACUGCUCUUGUGUUUCACAUCCCACAUAAAGAGUGAGCCAUGCCUGGAAAGAGUGGAGGAAAUGUACGUGUGAACAAGGAAGUGUGCAUUAGCUGAGAUUCCUGCAUGGCAAAGGGGUCAGGCUGGAUGACCCUUGGUAGCCCCACCCCCCAACUCAACAGUUCUAUGAUUCUUACAGCUUAAGAGCUGCAGUGAUUCUCCCACAACCAGCUGGGAGAAAUCAUUGAGUCUGGGUGAGUGUUUUAUGGUGCAACUGGGGUGGGAAGAGGGUAGACAGAAUCAUUGAAUCAUAAUGUUGGGAGGGGCCCUCAAGGAUCAUCCAGUCUAACCCCUUGCAAUGCAGGGACCUCAGCAAAAGAAUCCCUGGCUGACAUGCAACUGGGAGGGCCAAGGCCACUAAGCAAGCCAAAGGCAGGUGCCAGCUGUUUUUUCACAUUGCCCCAUCGCUCUGAUGGGCAAACCGAUCCCAAUACACUCAUCAAAGGGAAAUGCUUUGUUGCAAAAAUAAAUCCAGAAAUUCAUAACAGGUGGCAAAAUGCAAAAAGCCUGCCUUCUACCCUGUUGCAAGACUCCGCUGCGAAAGAAUGAAGUCUGCCAAAUGCAAAAGCUGACGCCUCUGGACAUGUCUCUGGUCGGAACUCGAACCCGUAGCCUCCCUUCGCUGGCACUGGAACGCUGCUCCUACCCAUUGCUACGCCUCUCCUUUGCCAAAGAGCCGCUCCGCUUUCCUUUUCCGGCUAACGCUGCGCACCAAAGGCCGUGGCUCAAGUCUGGGGGGAAAGAAAUCUCAGCCUAACUAACCUAAGCGUGAGAUGCAUUGCAAAUCGGGGUUGGACUGGAUGACCUUCAGGGGUCCCUUCCAACUUGGCAGUCCUAUAAUUCUAUGCUGCAGCUGCAUGACCGAUGCAGCAAGUUGCUGGGAAUCAAGCUGGGGAGACGCUCAAGACUAGGACUGAGCCCUGUGGCAAUAUUCCCUUCCUCUUCCUCUUCAUUUUAUGGGCCAGCCCACUUGGACUAUUAGGGUAUUUUGGGGGUUGGGGGCAGAAUUCCAAGGUCACGGGGGAAAUGGAUCAAGCCGGUGUUUUGCAAAGUUGCAAAGGUGACCCUGCAUUUUGCUAUUUUUCCACAGGCGAAGAAGAAUUAACCCCCCCCCCCCAAUUUCUAAUACUUGACAUUGUAUAUAAUGUUAGAUAUGGGAUUUUAAAGAAGAGCUAUUUAUUAUAAAUGACGCUAUGUACACACCAUAUCGACGUAGACGUGAUCUCUUGCAAGGGUAUUGCAGGGGGGGAACUUGCUUCCGAGCAAUUGGGGAGAAUUUUAUUCUUAGCUGGGGGUUUUUUCACCCAUAGAAAAAUAAAGAGUUGGGGGGUUGGGGGGGUGGAAUAAAAUGCUCCUGGACAAAUCUUCUCUCUUUCUCAUGCCAAAGCAUAUUUGUACUGCUCUUUUACUUUCAUUUUAGAAACAAAAUAAAGUCUGAAUUCAAGAUC
RNAcentral lists this long non-coding RNA (5055 nucleotides) under Podarcis lilfordi (Lilford's wall lizard). Lineage: Eukaryota; Metazoa; Chordata; Lepidosauria; Squamata; Lacertidae. The record is from RNAcentral.